Oryctolagus cuniculus (rabbit) is the source of this 2368-nucleotide long non-coding RNA. NCBI's taxonomy places the organism in Eukaryota, Metazoa, Chordata, Mammalia, Lagomorpha, Leporidae. The record is from Ensembl.
AUGCCGGUGCCCCCCACCCCCCCGUGUGGCCUGCGGGGGCUGGGGCCUGAGCUCCUCACACCGCCACGCUUGCCGGGAGCACUCUGUCUUGCAAAGAGGUGUCCUGGCCCCCUAUGCUGUGCCCUCCGAGCUCCUGCUGGUGGAGGAGAUCCCACGGAACCAGAUGGGCAAGGUGGACAAGAAGGCCCUGCUCAGGCAGUUCUACCCCGCGUGACCACGGGACCACGGCCAGGCCCAGAGCCCUCCCCGGACCUGACGCUGGGCAUGAGACCCGCACGCUGCCUCCCACAGCCACUGAUGUCCCAGCCCAGGGCCCCCAGACACUCCCUUGUGGUGGUAACACCCCACCUGCUGGACUCUCUCCUCAGCAAGUCCUGGAGGGAUCCCGGAGAAAAACAAACACUGUCCUGUGCUGUCUGCACACACCUGCACACACCUGCACACCUGUGUUGUCUGCCCACACCUGCACACACCUGCACACCUGUGCUGUCUGCCCACACCUGCAUACACCUGCACACCUGUGCUGUCUGCACACACCUGCACACCUGUGCUGUCUGCCCACACCUGCACACACCUGCACACCUGUGCUGUCUGUCUGCACCUGCACACACCUGCACACCUGUGCUGUCUGCCCACACCUGCACACACCUGCACACCUGUGCUGUCUGUCUGCACCUGCACACACCUGCACACCUGUGCUGUCUGCCCGCACCUGCACACACCUGCACACCUGUGCUGUCUGCCCGCACCUGCACACACCUGCACGCCUGCACACACCUGCAUACCUGUGCUGUCUGCACACCUCUGCACACCUGUCCAGAGCUGUGUGCUGCCCUACAGUGGGAGCACCUCAGCUCCCAAGGGUGGAGCCAGCUGCCUCGCCCCAACCCAGAGUCCUCCCAGGUCCUCCCAGACCCCUGCUCCCCCAAACCCCACGUCUUGCUGGCCUCCACCUUCCCAGCCCACAGGGAAGUGUUAGGGUGCGUGGGUGCCCCCGUGUGCACUCAGAGGCCACGUGAAGCGUCCUGGAGUUUCUGCAUGACUCCUGGGGAGCCGGGCACAGCUGUCCCCAUGGCCUGUAGGGAGGGACGGCCACAGCCCUGCAGGACUCUGCCCCAGAAUGCAGACCUACGGGGCCCGGUCACAGCCCUCCCACCGCCUGCUGUCCCUCACCCUCCCCUGCGCUGGGCAGGGCCAUGCUGGGAGGAAAGGCCCCGGGAGGGGGCAGCGCUCAGCGCUCGCCGGUCUGGACAGCUGGGCCUCGGCUUCGUGGUGGCUCAGGAGACACCUGCUCCUGGGCGGAAGUCAGCGGCUGUAAGACUUUCACUGAAUCCUGCUGGCUUCGCUCUUGCGUUUUCUAUAACCUGAAGGUUCCGGCUCCUAAAAAUGUUUGCAUCAUCCGCACUGCCUCGUGGUUUGAGUCACACCGUCCAGCGUCGUCACAGGAAAACCUUCCUGCAGGACGCUGACGCCAUCGAGACGUGCGCAGCUCCUGCGUCCUCGGAACGCGCUCCUGGGGCGCAGCCAGAGCACCGCACCCUGCCACCUCUCUGCCUCGUCUGUCUCCCUGAGACGGGGCUCGGGCAGCCAGCGUCCAGCUCAGCCUGGCACAGGUCUCCUGGGGACACCGUCCACCCCCGGGGCCCCAGGAAGUUCCACAGGCUGGCUGAGCCAGCCCGCACCCCACACACCCUGACAGGCAGCCCCGGCCGUCCGAGCCGGGGCCAGGAGCAGGUGCCCUGAGAGCUGCUGCUCGCACUGGACGAUGAACCCACCCGACCUGCUCCUGAGUUGGACUUCAGUCUGUUGGAGGUGCAGGGGUCUGGUGGAGCCUCGGUCCCUGGGGCCCAAGAAGGGACAAGGCACCAUGAGCAGGACGAUGGCCCUGGCGCCUUCCCCCAGGGUUCUGCAGUCCUUCCUGCCCCUCCCCCGUUGGUGGCCAGGGAGCGGCCCUUGCUGCCCCAGCACUCUGUCCACUGCGGCAUCACCCUGCAGGUGGGCUGUGGGCCACCAGCGUGGAGGGGUCAGGAGCUCUGCUUCCCAUCCCAGCCUCUCACGCAGGAAAGGGGGGGUCAGCUGAGGCUGAGGCGUCCACCAGGGCCCAGCCAGCCCCUGCCCCGGCACCCCCCCAGCUCCCUCUGCCUGGGCGUCCUGCUCCGAUGCAGGCUGACGGAGGAGCUUGGUCCCCAUGGGGCCGCAGCAGACAGCAGAGGUGCAGAGCAUGGCCCCUGGGUAAAUCGGGCACAGAGUGGGGCUGCCGCAGCGAGGCGGGCAGGCCGGGGGUUGGCCCCACUGGCCCCGGGACAGCCGUCACGGCCCUGCCUCAGCCCUGCAGUGCCACGGUUUUGCCGUUGUCCCGCGUGGUGGC